CCUACGGGUGGCUGCAGUGAGGAAUAUUGGUCAAUGGGCUUAAGCCUGAACCAGCCAAGUAGCGUGCGGGAAGAAUGCCCUAUGGGUUGUAAACCGCUUUUGCAAGGGGACAACGCCCGCUCCUUGUGGACGUCUGCAGUGUACGUGCGCAAAAGGGCUGGAUAAUCCCGGUCCAGCAGCUCCGGUAAUAAGGAAGGCACGAGCGUUAGCCGGUUUUAUGGGGCGUAAAGGGGGCGUAGGCGGGCGUGCAAGUCAGCGGUAAAAUCGCGCUGGUCAAACGCGCUCCGCCGUUGACACUGGACGCAUUGAGUGCACGACAGGCAGGCGGAAUUCGUGGUGUAGCGGUGAAAUGCAUAGAUAUCACGCGGAACCCCGAUUGCGAAGGCAGCAUGCCGGGGUGCAACUGACGCUGAAGCACGAAAGUGUGGGUAUCAAACAGGAUUAGAUACGCCAGUAGUC
This 459-nucleotide ribosomal RNA is filed under the name uncultured bacterium. RNAcentral describes it as "partial 16S ribosomal RNA". It matches the Rfam family "Bacterial small subunit ribosomal RNA", at positions 338 to 795 of the family's 1533-position model. The record is from RNAcentral.